Molecule: ribosomal RNA, 395 nt
Filed under: uncultured bacterium
Lineage: Bacteria
Description: partial 16S ribosomal RNA
Rfam family: Bacterial small subunit ribosomal RNA
Source: RNAcentral
CCUACGGGAGGCAGCAGUGAGGAAUAUUGGUCAAUGGCCGCAAGUCUGAACCAGCCAUGCCGCGUGAAGGACGACGGUUCCAUGCGUUGUAAACUUCUUUUGUAAGAGGGCAAAAGCAGAUUCGAGUACCUGUCCGAGAGUAUUUUACGAAAAAGGAUCGGCUAACUCCGUGCCAGCAGCCGCGGUAAUACGGAGGAUUCGAGCGUUAUCCGGAUUUAUUGGGUUUAAAGGGUGCGUAGGCGGUCUGUUAAGUUAGAGGUUAAAGCCCGAGGCUCAACUUCGGCGGUGCCUCUGAUACUGUUCGGCUAGAGAUUAGGAGCGGUAUGCGGAAUGUACGGUGUAGCGGUGAAAUGCUUAGAGAUCAGACAGAACACCGAUUGCGAAGGCAGCUUACC